GAUCGGUGACAGUGGUGCAUGGUUGUCGUCAGCUCGUGUCGUGAGAUGUUGGGUUAAGUCCCGCAACGAGCGCAACCCCUAUUGUUAGUUGCCAUCAUUCAGUUGGGCACUCUAGCGAGACUGCCGGUAAUAAACCGGAGGAAGGUGGGGAUGACGUCAAAUCAUCAUGCCCCUUAUGACCUGGGCUACACACGUGCUACAAUGGUUGGUACAACGAGUUGCGAGUCGGUGACGGCGAGCUAAUCUCUUAAAGCCAAUCUCAGUUCGGAUUGUAGGCUGCAACUCGCCUACAUGAAGUCGGAAUCGCUAGUAAUCGCGGAUCAGCACGCCGCGGUGAAUACGUUCCCGGGCCUU
RNAcentral lists this ribosomal RNA (354 nucleotides) under uncultured Streptococcus sp. Its description in RNAcentral is "bacterial SSU rRNA". It matches the Rfam family "Bacterial small subunit ribosomal RNA", at positions 1026 to 1382 of the family's 1533-position model. Lineage: Bacteria; Bacillati; Bacillota; Bacilli; Lactobacillales; Streptococcaceae. The record is from RNAcentral.